Molecule: ribosomal RNA, 253 nt
Filed under: uncultured bacterium
Lineage: Bacteria
Description: partial 16S ribosomal RNA
Rfam family: Bacterial small subunit ribosomal RNA
Source: RNAcentral
GACAGAGGUUGCAAACGUUGUUCGGAAUCACUGGGCAUAAAGCGCACGUAGGCGGUCUGUUAAGUCAGGUGUGAAAGCCCCCGGCUCAACCGGGGAAUUGCAUUUGAUACUGGCAGGCUCGAGAACGGUAGGGGUGAGUGGAACUCCAGGUGGAGCGGUGAAAUGCGUAGAGAUCCGGAGGAACACCAGAGGCGAAGGCGGCAGCCUGGCUCGUAACUGACGCUCAUACACGACAGCAUGGGGAGCGAACGGG